GGCAGUAGUUCCGUCAGAGCGGACAUCUUGUGGCUGUGCCGUGCGCGUGAGCCCCGUAGGGCCGGGGAGGCACCAGCUGCCGCGCGGGGAGGAGGCCGAGGCCGCAGCUCGAGGGAGGCCCCGGCCCUCUGCGCCUGUGUCUGGCAGAGCCGGUGUGAGAAGAAGAGAGAAUCCUUCCCCGCCGCCGGGAUAAUCAAGAGUUUUGGCCGGACCUUUGAGUACACAUCGGGAUAGUGAGAAGCCCGGCGAAAAGCACAGACUAUGGCGCUGAAACGGAUUAAUAAGGAACUUAGUGAUUUGGCCCGUGACCCUCCAGCACAAUGUUCUGCAGGUCCAGUUGGAGAUGACAUGUUUCAUUGGCAAGCCACAAUUAUGGGACCUAAUGACAGCCCAUAUCAAGGUGGUGUAUUCUUUUUGACAAUUCAUUUUCCUACAGACUACCCCUUCAAACCACCUAAGGUUGCAUUUACAACAAGAAUUUAUCAUCCAAAUAUUAACAGUAAUGGCAGCAUUUGUCUUGAUAUUCUAAGAUCACAGUGGUCUCCUGCUUUAACUAUUUCUAAAGUUCUUUUAUCCAUUUGUUCACUGCUAUGUGAUCCAAACCCAGAUGACCCCCUAGUGCCAGAGAUUGCACGGAUCUAUAAAACAGACAGAGACAAGUACAACAGAAUAUCUCGGGAAUGGACUCAGAAGUAUGCCAUGUGAUGCUACCUUAAAGUCAGAAUAACCUGCAUUAUAGCUGGAAUAAACUUUAAAUUACUGUUCCUUUUUUGAUUUUCUUAUCCGGCUGCUCCCCUAUCAGACCUCAUCUUUUUUAAUUUUAUUUUUUGUUUCCCUCCCUCCAUUCAUUCACAUGCUCAUCUGAGAAGACCUAAGUUCUUCCAGCUUUGGACAAUAACUGCUUUUAGAAACUGUAAAGUAGUUACAAGAGAACAGUUGCCCAAGAUUCAGAAAUUUUUUUAAAACUGGAGCAUGUGUAUUAUGUGGCCAAUGUCUUCACUCUAACUUGGUUAUGAGACUAAACCAAUCCUCACUGCUCUAACAUGCUGAAGAAGCCAUCUGAGGGGGAGGGGGAUGGAUGCUGAGCUGUCACAUCAAAGGAAACAGCAUUAUUCCAGCAGCAUCCAUUCUUGUCUAAACCUUCCACUGUUAGAGAUUUGAGGUUACAUGAUAUACUUUAUGCUCAUAACUGAUGUGGCUGGAGAAUUGGUAUUGAAUUAUAGCAUCAGCAGAACAGAAAAUGUGAUGUAUUUUAUGCAUGUCAAUAAAGGAAUGACCUGUUCUUGUUCUACAGAGAAUGGAAAUUGGAAGUCAAACACCCUUUGUAUUCCAAAAUAGGGUCUCAAAACAUUUUGUAAUUUUCAUUUAAAUUGUUAGGCUUGGAGCUAUUAGUUAAUCUAUCUUCCAAUACUGUUUAAUAUAGCACUGAAUAAAUGAUGCGAGUUGUCAAUGGAUGAGUGAUCAACUAAUAGCUCUCCUAGUAAUUGAUUUAUUUUUCUUCAAUAAAGUUGCAUAAACCAAUGAGUUAGCUGCCUGGAUUAAUCAGUAUGGGAAACAAUCCUUUGUAUAAAUGCAAAGCUGUUUUUGUAUAUACUGUUGGGAUUUGCUUCAUUGUUUGACAUCAAAUGAUGAUGUAAAGUUCAAAAGAGUGAAUAUAUUGCCAUGUUCAGUUAAAGUGCACAGUCUGUUAACAGGUUGACACAUUGCUUGACCUGAUUUAUGCAGAAUUAAUAAGCUAUUCAAAUAGUGUAGCUUUAAUACGCUGCACAUGAUUCUGGCAGCCCUAGAGUUCAUAAAUGGACUUGGGACUCAGCAGUUUUGAAACGUGUAUAUGGAGUUUAAGAAAUUUAUUUUCCAGGUGCAUCCCCUUCUAACUAAAAUUUUCUUCAUCUUGUACACUUAACAGCUGAAAAAGAUAUAUAUAUAUAUAACUUGGGAGUGAUAAUGGGUCAAAAUUUACAAAAUAAAGUACUGUUUUGGUGUGGGAGUUGUCAUGAGGCUGUGUUGAAGUGACUUAACUGUGGGAUGUUGGUAUCCAUUGAGAUGGAUUUGUUCAGCCAUUUACAUUAAUGAGCAUUUAAAUGCAACAGAUCAUUUCGGGUGACUUUAACAUGAAUGAAUAAAAAAGUCAAUGCU
RNAcentral lists this long non-coding RNA (2136 nucleotides) under Rattus norvegicus (Norway rat). RNAcentral's name for it is "long non-coding RNA NONRATT015792". The record is from RNAcentral. Lineage: Eukaryota; Metazoa; Chordata; Mammalia; Rodentia; Muridae.